This is a small nuclear RNA of Pteronotus mesoamericanus, 164 nucleotides long. RefSeq annotates it as U1 spliceosomal RNA. Lineage: Eukaryota; Metazoa; Chordata; Mammalia; Chiroptera; Mormoopidae. The transcript has a single exon. The record is from RefSeq and is a predicted model, not a curated record.
AUACUUACCUGGCAAGGGAGAUACCAUGAUCGUGAAGGUAGUUUUCCCAGGUCGAGGCUUGUCCAUUGCACUCUGGAUGUACUGACCCCUGUGAUUUCCCCAAAUGUGGGAAACUCAACUGCAUACUAUGUGGUAGUGGGGGACUGCAUUCACACUCUCUCCUA